GUGAGUCAUCGAAUCUUUGAACGCACAUUGCGCCCCUCGGUAUUCCGUGGGGCAUGCCUGUUCGAGCGUCAUUUACACCCUCAAGCUCUGCUUGGUGUUGGGCGCCUGUCCCGCUUUACGCGUGGACUCGCCCUAAAGUCAUUGGCAGCGGUCGUGCCAGCUUCUCGCGUAGCACAUUUGCGUUUCUUGAAGUUUGGUGGAUCAGCAUCCAGUAAGCUCUUUUAUGACUUGACCUCGGAUCAGGUAGGGAUACCCGCUGAACUUAAGCAUAUCAAUAAGCGGAGGA
This 286-nucleotide unclassified non-coding RNA is filed under the name Stagonospora sp. RNAcentral's name for it is "partial contains 5.8S ribosomal RNA, internal transcribed spacer 2, and large subunit ribosomal RNA". The stretch from base 1 to 71 matches the Rfam family "5.8S ribosomal RNA", at positions 84 to 154 of the family's 154-position model. The record is from RNAcentral. Lineage: Eukaryota; Fungi; Ascomycota; Dothideomycetes; Pleosporales; Massarinaceae.